This is a small nucleolar RNA of Amazona collaria (yellow-billed parrot), 158 nucleotides long. The record is from Ensembl. NCBI's taxonomy places the organism in Eukaryota, Metazoa, Chordata, Aves, Psittaciformes, Psittacidae.
UUGCCCAAUGAUUAUAGCAAGACGCGUUAUUAUGAGGACUAAUGCUGGAACUCUUUCUCCUCUUUUUCCUCCUCCUUUGUCCCUUUCUCUUUCACCUUACCCCUCACUUUCCUUGGGGUAUCCAGCGUCCUGUGAGCAAGACUGAGAUAUGAGGGCAA